This 1495-nucleotide ribosomal RNA is filed under the name uncultured bacterium. RNAcentral describes it as "bacterial SSU rRNA". It matches the Rfam family "Bacterial small subunit ribosomal RNA". The record is from RNAcentral.
AGAGUUUGAUCCUGGCUCAGAGUGAACGCUGGCGGCGUGCCUAACACAUGCAAGUCGAACGGAGUUUUCACGGCCGUAGGGGCAACCCGAAAGCUGUGAAAACUGAGUGGCAGACGGGUGAGUAACACGUAGGCAAUCUCCCUUCGAGCGGGGGAUAACCUGGCGAAAGCCGGGCUAAUACCCCAUUGGACCACGGUCCCGCAUGGGACUGGGGUUAAAGUCGAAAGACGCUUGAAGACGAGCCUGCGGUCUAUCAUGGUAGUUGGUGAGGUAACGGCUCACCAAGCCGACGACGGAUAGCCGGCCUGAAAGGGUGGCCGGCCACACUGGCACUGAGACACGGGCCAGACUCCUACGGGAGGCAGCAGUGAGGAAUCUUGGACAAUGGGGGCAACCCUGAUCCAGCGACGCCGCGUGGAGGACGAAGGUCUUCGGAUUGUAAACUCCUUUUCGAGGGGAAGAACACAAUGACGGUACCCUCGGAAUAAGCCACGGCUAACUACGUGCCAGCAGCCGCGGUAAUACGUAGGUGGCAAGCGUUACUCGGAAUCACUAGGCGUAAAGCGCGGGUAGGCGGCUUGACAAGUCUGUCGUGAAAGCUCCUGGCUUAACCGGGAGAGGUCGGCGGAAACUAUCAGGCUUGAGUGUGGGAGGGGGUACUGGAAUUCCCGGUGUAGCGGUGAAAUGCGUAGAGAUCGGGAGGAACACCGAUGGCGAAGGCAGGUACCUGGACCAAUACUGACGCUGAGCCGCGAAAGCUAGGGGAGCAAACAGGAUUAGAUACCCUGGUAGUCCUAGCUGUAAACGAUGCACACUAGAUAUGGGGGGUAUCGACCCCCUCCGUGUCGCAGCAAACGCAUUAAGUGUGCCGCCUGGGGAGUACGGCCGCAAGGUUGAAACUCAAAGGAAUUGACGGGGGCCCGCACAAGCGGUGGAGCAUGUGGUUUAAUUCGACGCAACGCGAAGAACCUUACCUGGGCUUGAACUUGAGGAAGUAGAAUCCUGGAAACAGGAGACGGCCCGUAAAGUCGGGAGCCUUGAGAGGUGCUGCAUGGUUGUCGUCAGCUCGUGUCGUGAGAUGUUGGGUUAAGUCCCGCAACGAGCGCAACCCUUAUCCUAUGUUGCCAUCCCGAAAGGGGGCACUCUUAGGAAACUGCCUCGGAUAACGGGGAGGAAGGUGGGGACGACGUCAAAUCAUCAUGGCCUUUAUGUCCAGGGCUACACACGUGCUACAAUGGCCGGUACAGCGGGAUGCAAGACCGCAAGGUGGAGCCAAACCCCUAAAGCCGGCCCCAGUUCAGAUCGUGGGCUGCAAUUCGCCCACGUGAAGGCGGAAUCGCUAGUAAUCGCAGAUCAGCAGGCUGCGGUGAAUACGUUCCCGGGCCUUGUACACACCGCCCGUCACACCACGAAAGCCCGCUGCAACAGAAAUCCCCGGGUCAUCCGGGGCUGAAGUUGUGGUUGGUGAUUGGGGUGAAGUCGUAACAAGGUAACC